RNAcentral lists this ribosomal RNA (599 nucleotides) under Kluyveromyces marxianus. RNAcentral's name for it is "eukaryotic LSU rRNA". It matches the Rfam family "Eukaryotic large subunit ribosomal RNA", at positions 49 to 664 of the family's 3401-position model. Lineage: Eukaryota; Fungi; Ascomycota; Saccharomycetes; Saccharomycetales; Saccharomycetaceae. The record is from RNAcentral.
AGCGGAGGAAAGAACCAACCGGGAUUGCCUUAGUAACGGCGAGUGAAGCGGCAAAAGCUCAAAUUUGAAAUCUGGCGUCUUCGACGUCCGAGUUGUAAUUUGAAGAAGGCGACUUUGUAGCUGGUCCUUGUCUAUGUUCCUUGGAACAGGACGUCAUAGAGGGUGAGAAUCCCGUGUGGCGAGGAUCCCAGUUAUUUGUAAAGUGCUUUCGACGAGUCGAGUUGUUUGGGAAUGCAGCUCUAAGUGGGUGGUAAAUUCCAUCUAAAGCUAAAUAUUGGCGAGAGACCGAUAGCGAACAAGUACAGUGAUGGAAAGAUGAAAAGAACUUUGAAAAGAGAGUGAAAAAGUACGUGAAAUUGUUGAAAGGGAAGGGCAUUUGAUCAGACAUGGCGUUUGCUUCGGCUUUCGCUGGGCCAGCAUCAGUUUUAGCGGUUGGAUAAAUCCUCGGGAAUGUGGCUCUGCUUCGGUAGAGUGUUAUAGCCCGUGGGAAUACAGCCAGCUGGGACUGAGGAUUGCGACUUUUGUCAAGGAUGCUGGCGUAAUGGUUAAAUGCCGCCCGUCUUGAAACACGGACCUCCUGUGUGAAGGGAAUCCGCUAA